Molecule: long non-coding RNA, 353 nt
Organism: Cotesia glomerata
Lineage: Eukaryota; Metazoa; Arthropoda; Insecta; Hymenoptera; Braconidae
Exons: 4
Source: RefSeq, a predicted model, not a curated record
UUUUGAUGAUCUUCCGAGUUUUGAUGAUGACAGUGAUGCUCCUCGCUUGCCGGAGGUUUCGCCGGUACAAUCGUUGUCUCGUACCUUCAGAACGAUGCGCCACCAGCGGUACCGCCGGUAAGCAUCAGACAUGUUUAUUGAAGCUGACAUUGUUGACAGAAUCCAAUUUAAUAAUAAGAUACACGUCGACUAAAAAUUUAACGGAGUUAUAAAGUUACAAAGUUACGAUGUUACAAAGUGGAUUCUCGACGCUAAAAGGUUAAAGUAGGAAAGAAAAACUAAUUGGGUGUCCAUCUGAAGUUUUAAACUCACCUCGAAGACCUCGAGUUCAAGUGUAUCAGUUUCGACGCUCA